CCUACGGGAGGCAGCAGUGGGGAAUAUUGCACAAUGGGGGAAACCCUGAUGCAGCGACGCCGCGUGAGGGAAGAAGUAUUUCGGUAUGUAAAGCUCUAUCAGCAGGGAAGAAGAAAGAAGGUACCUGACUAAGAAGGCCCAGCUAAAUACGUGCCAGCAACCGCGGUAAUACGUAGGGGGGCAGGGGUAUCCGGAUUUACAGGGGUGAAAGGGAGCGUAGGCGGCUGUGCAAGUCUGAAGUGAAAGCCCAGGGCUCAACCCUGGGACUGCUUUUGAAACUGUGGAGCUAGAGUGCUGGAGAGGUAAGUGGAAUUCCUAGUGUAGCGGUGAAAUGCGUAGAUAUUAGGAGGAACACCAGUGGCGAAGGCGGCUUACUGGACAGUAACUGACGUUGAGGCUCGAAAGCGUGGGGAGCAAACAGGAUUAGAUACCCGAGUAGUC
Molecule: ribosomal RNA, 441 nt
Filed under: uncultured bacterium
Lineage: Bacteria
Description: partial 16S ribosomal RNA
Rfam family: Bacterial small subunit ribosomal RNA
Source: RNAcentral